Molecule: ribosomal RNA, 451 nt
Filed under: uncultured bacterium
Lineage: Bacteria
Description: bacterial SSU rRNA
Rfam family: Bacterial small subunit ribosomal RNA
Source: RNAcentral
AACGAACGCUGGCGGCAGGCCUAACACAUGCAAGUCGAACGCUCGUAGCAAUACGGGAGUGGCAGACGGGUGCGUAACGCGUGGGAACAUACCCUUUGGUUCGGAAUAACUCAGGGAAACUUGAGCUAAUACCGGAUACGCCCGAGAGGGGAAAGAUUUAUUGCCGAAGGAUUGGCCCGCGUCUGAUUAGCUAGUUGGUAGGGUAACGGCCUACCAAGGCGACGAUCAGUAGCUGGUCUGAGAGGAUGAUCAGCCACACUGGGACUGAGACACGGCCCAGACUCCUACGGGAGGCAGCAGUGGGGAAUAUUGGACAAUGGGCGCAAGCCUGAUCCAGCCAUGCCGCGUGAGUGAUGACGGCCUUAGGGUUGUAAAGCUCUUUACCUGGGAAGAUAAUGACGGUACCAGGAGAAUAAGCCCCGGCUAACUUCGUGCCAGCAGCCGCGGUAAU